AAUUUGAACUUGAGUAUUAGUAGUUAAGGUCUUGAAACUUAAAGAAUUUGGCGGUAUUAUAGUCUAUUUAGAGGAAUCUGUUAUGUAAUCGAUAGUCCACGUUGAACCUUACUUAUAUUAUUUCUUGUAUACCGCUGUUUGAGAAUAUACUUUUAGGUUAUUUUCUUAAUAUAUUAUUAAUUAAAAUUUCAGGUCAAGGUGCAGUAAUAUAUAAGUUGAAUAAUGGAUUACAAUAAAUUUUAUUUAUAUGGAUUGUUAUUGAAAUAUAAUUUGAAGGUGGAUUUAAUUGUAAUUUUUUAAAGAUUAUUAAAAUGAUUAAUAGCUCUAUAAUAUGUACACAUCGCCCGUCGCUCUCGUUAUUAAGAUGAGAUAAGUCGAAACAUAGUAA
RNAcentral lists this ribosomal RNA (388 nucleotides) under Tenodera aridifolia. RNAcentral's name for it is "partial 12S ribosomal RNA". Lineage: Eukaryota; Metazoa; Arthropoda; Insecta; Mantodea; Mantidae. The record is from RNAcentral.